RNAcentral lists this ribosomal RNA (440 nucleotides) under uncultured bacterium. Its description in RNAcentral is "bacterial SSU rRNA". It matches the Rfam family "Bacterial small subunit ribosomal RNA", at positions 954 to 1392 of the family's 1533-position model. The record is from RNAcentral.
AUGGGAACGCGAAGAACCUUACCUACUCUUGACAUCCAGAGAACUUAGCAGAGAUGCUUUGGUGCCUUCGGGAACUCUGAGACAGGUGCUGCAUGGCUGUCGUCAGCUCGUGUUGUGAAAUGUUGGGUUAAGUCCCGCAACGAGCGCAACCCUUAUCCUUUGUUGCCAGCGGUUCGGCCGGGAACUCAAAGGAGACUGCCAGUGAUAAACUGGAGGAAGGUGGGGAUGACGUCAAGUCAUCAUGGCCCUUACGAGUAGGGCUACACACGUGCUACAAUGGCAUAUACAAAGAGAAGCAACCUCGCGAAGAGCAAGCGGACCUCAUAAAGUAUGUCGUAGUCCGGAUUGGAGUCUGCAACUCGACUCCAUGAAGUCGGAAUCGCUAGUAAUCGUGGAUCAGAAUGCCACGGUGAAUACGUUCCCGGGUCUUGUACACACCG